This 1567-nucleotide long non-coding RNA is filed under the name Prunus dulcis (almond). Its description in RNAcentral is "sRNA ncRNA". Lineage: Eukaryota; Viridiplantae; Streptophyta; Magnoliopsida; Rosales; Rosaceae. The record is from RNAcentral.
AACAAAAAUAUACUUUCGAAAGAAACCUUCUUUUUACCCAACAAAAUUGAAAGAAACCUAUCUCUUAUUAUCUUCUCGCAUUUCUAAGGCAACACUGAGUCAGAGAAGGACAUAACACACUGCCCUGAGGUUCUGAUCUUUCUCUUAGCUAUUUGUUAAUCAUUCAGAGCUCUUUCUCUCUAUUUGUAUGAUUCAGCUCUCUCCCCCUGGUUUAUGUUUCCGUUUCUGAAAUUUAAUGGAAUUGAUGAUCUGGGUUUUGUUUUUAGAGAGGAAUUUGAGAUUAGAUUUGGGGUUUUGUAUAAACUCGCAAUUUAGGUGUUUCUCAGAAAAUAUUUGGGAAAUUUGUCAUAUUUGUAACUAGAUUUUGGAUUCUGGGUUAGCUUGGCCUUUUUCCUGAUCUUGAAUGUGUUUUGAAUCUGACUUGAUCUGCUUGUGUGCAAACGAAGUUCUCUUUUUUCUCUAUGGAUGUAAUGUUAGGGUUCUCAGUGCUCAGAGCUCAGAGCUCUGGUUGAUUGUGGAGAAAUUUAGGAGGAAAAUGAAAAUGAUAUGAAACCACCUUGCAAAUAUUGACUAAGAAGCUGGUUUGGUUUGACUGCUCUAUCUAGAUUAGAACCUUAGUGUGUGUAUGUGUCUAAAUGAAAACAUAGGUUAAAGUUUUUAACUUGGCCCUUGUAUGAUUCUUUUUUUGUUCCCCUGAGUUGCAUAAUAUUUUUUAUUAUCAAGAAUUGUUAUCUUAUGUUGAGACUGAGACAGACAAAGUCCUUUUGUAGAUUAAUAUUCAAUUGAUUGCAAUAAUUGAAAUGAAGAAAGAAGGAAAUGAGGAAACAAGUAUGGAGUCAGUGAAGAAGUUCUUGGAGAAAGAAGGUGAAAUGGCAAUCUCCAUGGAUGGGCUGCCAGAUAAGUUCUUUGAGCCCUUUAUCAUGAAAGGCAUUCAAGUUGAUCUCCUUGAACCCGGUCGUAUUGUUUGCUCCUUCAAAGUACCCCCUCGUUUGCUGAAUGGAGGCAAUUUUAUGCAUGGUGGAGCCACAGCAACCCUUGUGGAUUUGAUAGGGUCAGCUGCAAUCCUCACCGUCGGAACUCCCAGCGUUGGAGUUUCAGUGGAGAUCAAUGUUUCAUACUUGGAUUCUGCUUACCCUGGUGAGGAAGUUGAGGUUGAGGCCAAGGCUUUACGAGUUGGGAAGGCUGUUGGUGUUGCCAGUGUUGAGUUAAGGAAGAAGAAGACAGGCAAAAUUAUAGCUCAGGGCCGUCAUACCAAGUAUCUUGCUCUCGCUAGCAAACUCUGAACAGCUUGGAAGCUGGAACCAAGACCCAAGACACAAUUCGGUCUGUGUUCUAUGUAAAGAUUUUUCAACAUUGAAUAAGUUUUCUUUUGACUGAAUUAUAUAAAUUCACAGUUUGAGAUGCAAAUCAAUGAUCAAUUGAAAUUUUCCUCAGACUUGUAUAGAAUAUUGAGAAGCCUAUUGGUGUUGUCAGUGUUGAAUUUAGGAAGAAGAAAACAGGGGAAACAUUGUUGUCAAACUGGUGCUUCUCCCUACACUCAAUAAACUAUGAACAACUUUAAACCAAC